Molecule: microRNA, 23 nt
Filed under: Canis lupus familiaris (dog)
Lineage: Eukaryota; Metazoa; Chordata; Mammalia; Carnivora; Canidae
Description: Cfa-Novel-16_3p (mature (co-guide))
Source: RNAcentral
GCUCACGGGAGUUCUUGGUUUCA